This 756-nucleotide long non-coding RNA is filed under the name Meriones unguiculatus (Mongolian gerbil). RNAcentral describes it as "lncRNA (ENSMUGG00000023471.1)". Lineage: Eukaryota; Metazoa; Chordata; Mammalia; Rodentia; Muridae. The record is from RNAcentral.
CUUUGAUUUGUUUUACUUUUGUGUAAAUCUCUGCCCUCUCCCGUGAACAGGGUCUGCUCUACUGUGUCUGACGACUGCACCAUCAGUCUCCGAAGUCUGUGCCAUGCUAAGCUCAUCACGUGACAGCACCUGUGUCGUCUGACUCCUGCCUGGCUUUCGUUCUCUGAACACAGGGAGGAAACAUUUCAUUUAUGAUUUCCAGCCCUUUGAUUUUUACCAGUGAGUUAACGAGCCCAGAGAGAUAAAAAACUGGUUUUCAAAGGUCACACAGCUCAUUGCAGAAGUCAACAGGAAGGAGUCAUUUCCCCCCCUCUGGCCUGGAUGUCUCAGCCUCACUAAUGAUGAAUAGGGGCAGACUCCCUGUGCCUUUCAUUUCAAACAGCAUUUCAUAAGACAGUGCUGCCAGGCUCCCACAGCUUGAGGGCCCUCUACUGAAACUGCAGACCAAGUCGGAGAGGAGGUGGCCUGCAUGGUGGCCUGCACAGAGACAGCGGGGUCACACCUCCCUGUGGGCACCAGAUACACCUACCAAUACUCCAGCAAUACCAGCACCAGCCUGCAGGGGGCGCCGCUGGAAGCCAGUGGCCUGGGCCUCCAGGGCUUGGCCGUCCUUGAAGUGUUAGGCCCAUGCCAGAUGGCCUUAUGGCUUCAAGACCUCCAAGUGAUGUCUGUUCUGGGGUCCCAGGUGGAAGUUCUGAAGGAAUCUGAGAGUUUAAGGUAAGACCCUAGCCUAGGGUUUCAUGUUUGAGCCUAUAA